RNAcentral lists this long non-coding RNA (263 nucleotides) under Gossypium raimondii (Peruvian cotton). RNAcentral's name for it is "long non-coding RNA (GRAI_LNC008808)". Lineage: Eukaryota; Viridiplantae; Streptophyta; Magnoliopsida; Malvales; Malvaceae. The record is from RNAcentral.
GGGGGGGGGAGGUGUUAUAUGAUAAAGGAAUAAUUUAAAAAUGGGACAACUCAAAUCUCAAAUUUAUUGAAUGAGUGAUUAUAUGAAUUAAUUAAGCUUCGGUUCCAAUUUUUUAAAUAUAUAUAUGCAUGAACCAAGGAUGACCAAUUUGUUUACAAAAACGAUGGAAGCAAAGCAUGAGUUUUGCAAUUUGGUCCUAUCCUUUCCGUAAACAAAAUGGGGACCAUAUGUUUCUAUUUGUAAUUAUCCUUCCUUCCAAAAAC